Molecule: non-coding RNA, 549 nt
Organism: Arabidopsis thaliana (thale cress)
Lineage: Eukaryota; Viridiplantae; Streptophyta; Magnoliopsida; Brassicales; Brassicaceae
Source: RefSeq
UGGAUGACAACUUUUCCCGUGUUUUUUUUCUUUCCCAUUCCCAAACUAUUUUUUUCUUUCUCUCCUCUCUCCUCUCCUGUUUUCUCCGAAUUUCGACUUCGACGGAUCAAAUUCUUCAUCGUCUCUUUUCUUAUCAUGUCUCUCUUCUCAUACGAUCCACAAGAUUCGUGAUCGAAGAGGUGUCAGAAAAUCCACCGGAAGAGCUACUCUUACCGGCUUUGCUGAGGUCAACGAUGUGGCGCUGUUUUUCGGUGGAUUGGUUAGAAUGUUGAUGCUCAUAGGAUCCUGCUUGUGGGUUCGUCUGCUGGUUGAAUUUGAUGGCAAGUUAAAGUCUGGUGCUUUUGAUCUGACUUAAAUAAUGCUUCCACCUUCUCUAAAUCACUCCAGUGCCGACAUUACUUGUAUAAAAGAGACCACAUGUUUUAAGUCACCACAAGUUUGUACUUUGGUUUGAAUGCUUGUACACCACAAAAUAAUAUUCCGAAAACACUAGUUCUUAUUGUGUAUUCUAUGACAUCACUUGUAUGCUAAACAAUAAUUUUGUUUUCA